Molecule: ribosomal RNA, 1263 nt
Filed under: Salmonella enterica
Lineage: Bacteria; Pseudomonadati; Pseudomonadota; Gammaproteobacteria; Enterobacterales; Enterobacteriaceae
Also listed under: 2 other names
Description: partial 23S ribosomal RNA
Rfam family: Bacterial large subunit ribosomal RNA
Source: RNAcentral
AUAGGGGAGCCGCAGGGAAACCGAGUCUUAACCGGGCGUUAAGUUGCAGGGUAUAGACCCGAAACCCGGUGAUCUAGCCAUGGGCAGGUUGAAGGUUGGGUAACACUAACUGGAGGACCGAACCGACUAAUGUUGAAAAAUUAGCGGAUGACCUGUGGCUGGGGGUGAAAGGCCAAUCAAACCGGGAGAUAGCUGGUUCUCCCCGAAAGCUAUUUAGGUAGCGCCUCGUGAACUCAUCUUCGGGGGUAGAGCACUGUUUCGGCUAGGGGGUCAUCCCGACUUACCAACCCGAUGCAAACUGCGAAUACCGGAGAAUGUUAUCACGGGAGACACACGGCGGGUGCUAACGUCCGUCGUGAAGAGGGAAACAACCCAGACCGCCAGCUAAGGUCCCAAAGUCAUGGUUAAGUGGGAAACGAUGUGGGAAGGCCCAGACAGCCAGGAUGUUGGCUUAGAAGCAGCCAUCAUUUAAAGAAAGCGUAAUAGCUCACUGGUCGAGUCGGCCUGCGCGGAAGAUGUAACGGGGCUAAACCAUGCACCGAAGCUGCGGCAGCGACGCUUAUGCGUUGUUGGGUAGGGGAGCGUUCUGUAAGCCGUUGAAGGUGGCCUGUGAGGGUUGCUGGAGGUAUCAGAAGUGCGAAUGCUGACAUAAGUAACGAUAAAGCGGGUGAAAAGCCCGCUCGCCGGAAGACCAAGGGUUCCUGUCCAACGUUAAUCGGGGCAGGGUGAGUCGACCCCUAAGGCGAGGCCGAAAGGCGUAGUCGAUGGGAAACAGGUUAAUAUUCCUGUACUCGGUGUUACUGCGAAGGGGGGACGGAGAAGGCUAUGUUGGCCGGGCGACGGUUGUCCCGGUUUAAGCAUGUAGGCGGGUGUUCCAGGUAAAUCCGGAACGCUGUUAACGCUGAGGUGUGAUGACGAGGCACUACGGUGCUGAAGCAACAAAUGCCCUGCUUCCAGGAAAAGCCUCUAAGCAUCAGGUAACAUCAAAUCGUACCCCAAACCGACACAGGUGGUCAGGUAGAGAAUACCAAGGCGCUUGAGAGAACUCGGGUGAAGGAACUAGGCAAAAUGGUGCCGUAACUUCGGGAGAAGGCACGCUGAUGGUAGGUGAAGUGAUUUACUCAUGGAGCUGAAAUCAGUCGAAGAUACCAGCUGGCUGCAACUGUUUAUUAAAAACACAGCACUGUGCAAACACGAAAGUGGACGUAUACGGUGUGACGCCUGCCCGGUGCCGGAAGGUUAAUUGAUGGGGUUAUCCUCGCG